This 515-nucleotide ribosomal RNA is filed under the name uncultured Bacteroidota bacterium. Its description in RNAcentral is "bacterial SSU rRNA". It matches the Rfam family "Bacterial small subunit ribosomal RNA", at positions 77 to 589 of the family's 1533-position model. Lineage: Bacteria; Pseudomonadati; Bacteroidota. The record is from RNAcentral.
AGCUUGCUCUUGAUGACGAGUGGCGCACGGGUGAGUAACGCGUAUGCAAUCUACCUAUAACUGAGGAAUAGCCCAGAGAAAUUUGGAUUAAUACCUCAUAAUAUUAUUAUUUGGCAUCAUUUAAUAAUUAAAACUCCGGUGGUUAUAGAUGAGCAUGCGUUCUAUUAGCUAGUUGGUGAGGUAAGAGCUCACCAAGGCUACGAUAGAUAGGGGGCCUGAAAGGGUGAUCCCCCACACUGGUACUGAGACACGGACCAGACUCCUACGGGAGGCAGCAGUGAGGAAUAUUGCACAAUGGAGGAAACUCUGAUGCAGCCAUGCCGCGUGCAGGAUGAAGGCCCUAUGGGUUGUAAACUGCUUUUUUACAAGAAGAAACCUUGGUACGUGUACCAACUUGACGGUAUUGUAAGAAUAAGCACCGGCUAACUCCGUGCCAGCAGCCGCGGUAAUACGGAGGGUGCAAGCGUUAUCCGGAUUUAUUAGGUUUAAAGGGUUCGCAGGCGGAAUUUUAAGUC